This 687-nucleotide long non-coding RNA is filed under the name Brachypodium distachyon (stiff brome). Its description in RNAcentral is "long non-coding RNA (BDIS_LNC005133)". The record is from RNAcentral. Lineage: Eukaryota; Viridiplantae; Streptophyta; Magnoliopsida; Poales; Poaceae.
AAAGCAGGGGUGGUUGCCAUAGAUAGAUUGGGUCAUUCGUAACCAGCAAUAACCGAUGCUACUACAGCAAUAACGGAAAUAACCGAUGGUACAACAGAAACUACAGCUAUACGUGGCAGCCCCACACGCAGCUUUGUUUAACAAGCAUCACCCUUCCUUUCUUUUCAAAUGCUUUCUUAGUCAAUCAGCAGCUUAUUCGAUUCCUAUUCUUAUUAAACAUCUGAUAUAGAUGGUGGGAACAAUGAAGCAGAUUCUUCAUUCGUAGAUACCUCCGAAGCUGGUCGGCUCAUCUUUAAAAUACCUCUACAUUUCUUCUUUAUUUCCUCAACUGCUUCACCGUCACGAGUGCCUUCUUCUUCCUCUCCACCACCACAUGUUCUUUUCUUUUCCUCCACUGUCAUGUUUUUUUCUUCCACAACCUUUUCUUUUUCCACAUGAACCACAUCUUCUUCUUCUGCCUCCUUCGUCGUUUUAGAUGAUAUCUUUAUCUCUAUCGUCUCAACUACUACUCCAAGACGUUGGCGACACAGAUGUUAGUAUGCAUUUCAAUAUUUAUGUUCAAUCUUGUAUGCAAUGCAAUGAAAACGUAUCCAAUCUUGUAUGUCGUGCAAUGAAUGGAUCUGAUCGAUCUUGUAUGCAGUGAAAUGAGUGUAUCCGAUCUUGUAUGCAGUGUUCCAUCGUGUAUGC